GGAGAGAGAGGGAGUUGCGGGGGAGAUAUGGAGGUAUGAGGGAAAAACAUAGGCAGUAGUAGUAACCCUUAUAGGAAGACAUUUAAGUUUUUUGUUCUUCAGUUUGGGCCUCUCUCUCCCACCCAGAACAGAUGGGAUCUGGACCCACCGCAAGCCAAAAACACACAUUCAGACCCGCACCGCAGGGAUAUAAAAAUAAAUAACGACCAAUAAUAUGUACACACAUGAAUAAAUACAAGACAUUCACUCUGCUCUAAGAGACCCCCCCCCCCACCACCACCACUUCGCAGCCAGCCCUCUAUCAAGGACUCAGCUAGAGAGAGACAGAGGAGAGGUGGGGGAAGUUUACAUCCAUAUCCACUGCCGUGGAGUUUCUGAAGACAUAUGAAAUGAAAGAGUCGGUUCCUAGGUUGAAGUACCUCAAUGGGCUGGCAGGGACUGCUAGAAAUAGAGCCCAGAGAGCUGACAGGGCACACAUUAAGCACAUUGAUGAAAUACCUCUUACAUUCUUCUGAGGUGAAAUAACGUCCACAUAGUUGAGGUUCAGGGGUACGGGGUGGGAGAGAGGUUCAGGGGGUACGGGGUGGGAGAGAGGUUCAGGGGUACGGGGUGGGAGAGAGGUUCAGGGAUUAAUGGGGUGGGAGAGAGUUUCAGGGAUUAAUGGGGUGGGAGAGAGGUUCAGGGGUAUGGGGUGGGAGAGAGGUUCAGGGAUUAAUGGGGUGGGAGAGAGGGUUCAGGGAUUAAUGGGGUGGGAGAGAGGUUCAGGGAUUAAUGGGGUGGGAGAGAGGUUCAGGGAUUAAUGGGGUGGGAGAGAGG
This is a long non-coding RNA of Oncorhynchus tshawytscha (Chinook salmon), 816 nucleotides long. The record is from Ensembl. NCBI's taxonomy places the organism in Eukaryota, Metazoa, Chordata, Actinopteri, Salmoniformes, Salmonidae.